Molecule: ribosomal RNA, 249 nt
Filed under: Triticum aestivum (bread wheat)
Lineage: Eukaryota; Viridiplantae; Streptophyta; Magnoliopsida; Poales; Poaceae
Description: partial small subunit ribosomal RNA
Source: RNAcentral
AUGAGGGAUCUGGAGGAGUUCCGGGGCUCGUCGGCGGGGCCGCCGCGGAACAAUGGCGGCGGCGGCAGCGGGGGGUCGUCGGCGGUGACCACGCCGUCGUGGUGGGCGGGCGACCCGGAGGCCAAGAGGCGGAGGAGGGUGGCCGCCUACAAGGCCUACGCCGUGGAGGCCAGGGUCAAGGCGUCGCUCCGCCGCGGCCUCCGCUGGAUCAAGGACCGCCGCACCGGCAUCGUCCACCACCGCCGGUGA